RNAcentral lists this ribosomal RNA (512 nucleotides) under uncultured bacterium. RNAcentral's name for it is "bacterial SSU rRNA". It matches the Rfam family "Bacterial small subunit ribosomal RNA", at positions 15 to 518 of the family's 1533-position model. The record is from RNAcentral.
GAUCCUGGCUCAGGAUGAACGCUAGCUACAGGCUUAACACAUGCAAGUCGAGGGGCAGCAUUGGGGUAGCAAUACUCAGAUGGCGACCGGCGCACGGGUGAGUAACACGUAUCCAACCUGCCGCUUACUCGGGGAUAGCCUUCGAAAGAAAGAUUAAUACCCGAUGGUAUAAAGAGUUCGCAUGUUCUCUUUAUUAAAGAAUUUCGGUAAGCGAUGGGGAUGCGUUCCAUUAGAUAGUUGGCGGGGUAACGGCCCACCAAGUCUACGAUGGAUAGGGGUUCUGAGAGGAAGGUCCCCCACAUUGGAACUGAGACACGGUCCAAACUCCUACGGGAGGCAGCAGUGAGGAAUAUUGGUCAAUGGACGAGAGUCUGAACCAGCCAAAAGUAGCGUGAAGGAUGACUGCCCUAGUGGGUUGUAAACUUCUUUUAUAAGGGAAUAAAGUGAGGGACGUGUCCCUUUUUGUAUGUACCUUAUGAAUAAGGAUCGGCUAACUCCGUGCCAGCCGCCGC